Ostrea edulis (European flat oyster) is the source of this 887-nucleotide long non-coding RNA. RefSeq lists it as uncharacterized. Lineage: Eukaryota; Metazoa; Mollusca; Bivalvia; Ostreida; Ostreidae. The record is from RefSeq and is a predicted model, not a curated record. The transcript has 2 exons.
ACUGACUUUGAAGACGACAAUGAUGUUGAUUGAAUAAUACCAGGAUGCAGCAUUGCAGAAAGUAAUGACGGUAUCUGACAUGUCUUAUGCCAAUCAAUUCCUCCAGAAGAUGACACAAACUUUAAAUUAUGGAAGUUGCGAGCAAGAAUUUUUCAAGGGAAUGUCAGAUGGAGAAGAAACAUCAGUCAACAAGACAGUGUAAAAUGAUAAAGUAUCUGUAAUAGGUGCUUACCAUAUUCUGCCUAUUGUGGAUUCAGUGAUGGUUUUUCAAACGAACUAUGCUCAUCAACCAAAUGUCCUUAAAAUUUGUGGAGUGCAGAGCCACUUUCAGGCGAGACAGUAGUGUGGUUCAUUUUAGUGGACAUGAUUUUAGACGAGAUGUGCUUUGUGAAACUUGAAACAUUGUUCAUUCAUCAUAGUGUAAUGAGAACUGUUGUGGUCCAUCAUUCUAUGCUUUAGUGAAGUAAUGGAGAUAAUGUGAAGUACAUGUGUAAAUGCUCAUAUUCUGCACAACAUAUUUUUCAGUGACAUUAUUUCUUUGAGACCAAGCUCUGGACAGUUGAUAGCCAUUUAUGUGUAGGACUUUAUUUAUUUUUCUGUGUGUGCAAUAGCAACUGCCACUUGCAGUAAACCCAAACAAAGUGGAGAAAUAAUUUGUUGAGUUCAGAGAUUACAAUUUUUAUUGUGUUAUUUUGAUGAGAAGAUAGUAUUAAUAAGGUACAAUGGCACAUUGUAUCUUAUUGAAAAGCUUAUUUAAGAGUUAUCAGUAGAAUUAGACUGCAUGACAAUUAUUAGAAUGGGAAACCUAGAUGAAGUCAAAAGAAACUAUACUGUAUUUUACAGACUGUCCUGGAAAUAUCAUGCAAUAAAUAAUGUCUCCAGUGUUA